CUUGAAUAUAAAAGCUUGGGUGCUUAUACUGUCAGCUAUUACCCCAGAAUGUGACUGUGUUUGAUGUGUGAACGUGCUGGUAUUCAGGAAGCUAGAAUUGUUGCUAUGGUGGUUCGGUGAGGAGUGUUACUGAUUGAGGUUUCCCAAGGGGACGCUACUCAGAAGCUGGCUCACCAAGUCCCGACCCAGACUGCUGCUACUCAUCGCCGGCUUGAAGAGACCGCAGGUCACCCUCAUGCGGAGGAAAAGGAUGAAACGCACAAAAGUAGCAAAGGCCACGUAAGCGAACCUGCAGUCGAAUGCCACAUUUCACCUAAGUUGUUGACACAGACAGAGACCCCACCUGUUGCAGAAAUGGAAGCAAAUCAAGACACAGAGAAACCACAUUACCCAUAUCUACCAAACUUACAAACUAAAUGCCCAAGUGAAUCCAGAAGGGGUUCAGAGUGUGCUGUGAAAAUGAGGGAUCUCCCACAAAGAUCCAGACCCCCUGACUAAAAUCUGGAGCAUCACAUUGACAUUUGUUCAUCCUUCUCUCAAAUACACAUCUGUCAUGCUUCAUUACACUACACAGCGUGUCACAGUACAUGAUUGCUAUCAUUACUCCUUUAAGUGCCUUUGGUUGACAGUGAUUUUACUGUGUUCUGUGGUCAGGAUUUCAGGGAUUUUUAUUUUUGAUACCAAAUGAUGUGUGAGUGGAAAAAGAAAAAAAGAAAAAAAAAAAAGAAAAAAAGAUGUAUAGAUACCAUAAGCUAGUAACUAGCACACCAGCAGGUUUUACAUACUGUUGAUCUGAUCAGACUGACCUUUACUUUGUCCUUAAGAGUAAAACAAUUCUUGUAAAUGUCAAUAUCAAAUUAAAACAACCUUCACUAAUAUUUUAUAUCACACUACAAACAUGCAUUUCUUGACCCCUUUAAAAUGUAACCAACAUAAAAAAAAAAAUAAAAAAAAAAUACUUUUAAGAAUGUAAAAACAAAUUUUGAAGACAUUAUUUGACAUUAUUCAUGUUAAUAAUUUAUUGUUUUUUUCUGAAGAUGUCUACAGAGUAAUAAUUAACAUUUUAAUAAAGAAACAUUUUGCACUAAUUGUUAACGUGAAUCUCACAUAACCUAUUAAGGUCCUGGUCAUAUUUCAAUAUUGAAAGAAAAAACUAAGAAAUUAUAUUUUCCAUAAAGAAAAUUAAGCCUACUUUUAGGACCAUUAGCAUUUUUCCAUAACAAAGCAACAGUAAAAUUUUACAGUAAAAUUACUGUAAUACAAUUAUUAAGGCAGUACAACAAAUACAACUGAUAUAAAUGCUUUCAAAUGUAUAUUGUAUAACGGUAAUAAGAAUUGUUUUUUUCUCUUUGCACUACGGUAAAAACAAUUUAGGGGAAUAUGUGUUUGUCAUGAAAAUAAUGUUACAAUGCAAAGAUAAAAAAUCAUAAUAUUCUUCAAAAUCAGCAUCACCUUCUUUAUAUAUAAUAUAAUAUUUAUUUCACCCCAAAAUCUAAAUAAAAACUAAUGUUUUACUGUAAAAGUACUGUAAUACAAUGAUUGUUUUGAAGGUAGUACAACAAAUACUACUGUGAGGUAUAAACAUUUUAAAAUUUAAAUAAUAUACACAUUUUUUUUAUUUAAUAAUAAUAAUUUAUUUAUUGCAUUGCAGUAAUGACAAUUAGACUCUGUACAAAACCUCCAGCAACAAGCUGCAGCACGAGUCACAAAAUAUAUGCUUGCACAGUUUGAAAAUGUACUAAAUUAUAUUCUCUUCAAUUAAUUUUGUCUUUUAUGUUCAUAUUGUCUUUUACCUUUGGUUACUCUGUCAAAGCAGACACAGAUUUGUUUGAAGAAUCACAUACGUUUAAUUUCAGAUCAUUUUAGCUUCUACUCAAUGAAUAAACAAGGUAACACUUUAUAUAAAGUC
Myxocyprinus asiaticus (Chinese sucker) is the source of this 1909-nucleotide long non-coding RNA. RefSeq lists it as uncharacterized. The record is from RefSeq and is a predicted model, not a curated record. The transcript has 3 exons. Lineage: Eukaryota; Metazoa; Chordata; Actinopteri; Cypriniformes; Catostomidae.